RNAcentral lists this small RNA (401 nucleotides) under Pongo abelii (Sumatran orangutan). Its description in RNAcentral is "processed transcript". Lineage: Eukaryota; Metazoa; Chordata; Mammalia; Primates; Hominidae. The record is from RNAcentral.
AUGUGCCGUGGCAGCUGAGUGUGACCUAGCGCAGAACAGGGCUUCUCUCUUGCGUCCUCCGUGGGGAGUCCGGGAGAGGGACUUGGUCCUUCUGGCUGACUCCCUGCUUGGAAGGUGUGCUGCCCUCUCAGAUUCCCAACUUCUUCUGGAGCCUGGGGAUCGGUCACACUGGUGCGUGGUGGCAUACUGGGAGGAGAAGACGAGAGUGGGGAGGCUCUACUGUGUCCAGGAGCCCUCUCUGGAUAUCUUCUAUGAUCUACCUCAGGGGAAUGGCUUUUGCCUCGGACAGCUCAAUUCGGACAACAAGAGUCAGCUGGUGCAGAAGGUGCGGAGCAAAAUCGGCUGCGGCAUCCAGCUGACGCGGGAGGUGGAUGGUGUGUGGGUGUACAACCGCAGCAGUU